GUUUGCAGGAAGCUGUAAUCAAGAAAAAAUAUGGUGGAUUACUACCAAGAAAAACCCCUUUAAUCUCAAAGGAUCAUGAUCGUGCUUUCUUUGAUUCUGCAGAUUGGGCACUAGGAAAGGGGUCACAAAAGAGCAAAGGACCUUUAGAGGCACUACGCCCAAAAUUGCAA
Lactuca sativa (garden lettuce) is the source of this 170-nucleotide long non-coding RNA. RefSeq lists it as uncharacterized. The record is from RefSeq and is a predicted model, not a curated record. NCBI's taxonomy places the organism in Eukaryota, Viridiplantae, Streptophyta, Magnoliopsida, Asterales, Asteraceae.